RNAcentral lists this ribosomal RNA (253 nucleotides) under uncultured bacterium. RNAcentral's name for it is "partial 16S ribosomal RNA". It matches the Rfam family "Bacterial small subunit ribosomal RNA", at positions 524 to 776 of the family's 1533-position model. The record is from RNAcentral.
GCCAGAGGGUGCAACCGUUGUUCGGAAUUACUGGGCGUAAAGCGCGUGUAGGCGGCAGGGCAUGUCGGAUGUGAAAUCCCGUGGCUCAACCACGGAAGUGCACCCGAAACUGCCCAGCUUGAGUCUCGGAGAGGAUGGUGGAACUCUCGGUGUAGAGGUGAAAUUCGUAGAUAUCGAGAAGAACACCGGUGGCGAAGGCGGCCAUCUGGACGGUGACUGACGCUGAGACGCGAAAGCGUGGGGAGCAAACAGG